Molecule: ribosomal RNA, 440 nt
Filed under: uncultured bacterium
Lineage: Bacteria
Description: partial 16S ribosomal RNA
Rfam family: Bacterial small subunit ribosomal RNA
Source: RNAcentral
CCUACGUGUGGCUGCAGUGGGGAAUAUUGCACAAUGGAGGAAACCCUGAUGCAGCGACGCCGCGUGCGUGAAGACGUAAUUCGUUAUGGAAAGCUCUAUCAGCAGGGAAGAAAAUGACGGUACCUGAGUAUGAAGCCCCGUCUAACUACGUGCCAGCAGCCGCGGUAAUACGUAGGCUGCCAGCGUUAUCCGGAUUUAUUGGGUGUAAAGGGGGCGUAGGCGGCAGUGCAGGUGUGGAGUGAAAGGCGGGGGCUCAACCCCCGGACUGCCGCGGAAACUGUACGGCUGGAGAGCAGGCGAGGUAGGCGGAAUGCAUGGGGUAGCGGUGAAAUGCGUAGAUAUUAGACGGAACACCAGUUGCGAAGGCAGCUUACUGGACUGUAACUGACGUUGAGGCUCGAAAGCGUGGGGAGCAAACAGGAUUAGAUACCCCAGUAGUC